RNAcentral lists this small nucleolar RNA (107 nucleotides) under Gossypium arboreum. RNAcentral describes it as "Plant small nucleolar RNA R71". It matches the Rfam family "Plant small nucleolar RNA R71". From Rfam's summary of the family: R71 is a member of the C/D box family of snoRNAs containing the C (UGAUGA) and D (CUGA) box motifs. Multiple nearly identical copies of this snoRNA have been identified in Arabidopsis, and it is thought to function as a 2'-O-ribose methylation guide for 18S ribosomal RNA. Lineage: Eukaryota; Viridiplantae; Streptophyta; Magnoliopsida; Malvales; Malvaceae. The record is from Rfam by way of RNAcentral.
AUUCCAUAAUGAGAGCACUUUCAUAAUAAUUUUUUGUACCUUUCCUAUGCCUCAUGCAAGGACUCAUCAUUCAUUUUUUGGAAGGUAGUGAUCUUAUUCCUCAACUU